CUGUAGGCUGCAACUCGCCUACACGAAGUCGGAAUCGCUAGUAAUCGCGGAUCAGCAUGCCGCGGUGAAUACGUUCCCGGGCCUUGUACACACCGCCCGUCACACCAUGGGAGUUUGUAACACCCGAAGUCCGUAGCCUAACCGCAAGGGGGGCGCGGCCGGAGGUGGGUUCGAUAAUUGGGGUGAAGUCGUAACAAGGUAAC
RNAcentral lists this ribosomal RNA (203 nucleotides) under uncultured bacterium. RNAcentral's name for it is "partial 16S ribosomal RNA". It matches the Rfam family "Bacterial small subunit ribosomal RNA", at positions 1298 to 1500 of the family's 1533-position model. The record is from RNAcentral.